Molecule: transfer RNA, 76 nt
Filed under: Candidatus Magasanikbacteria bacterium CG1_02_41_34
Lineage: Bacteria; Candidatus Magasanikiibacteriota
Also listed under: 2 other names
Description: tRNA-Ile
Rfam family: tRNA
About the family: Transfer RNA (tRNA) molecules are approximately 80 nucleotides in length. Their secondary structure includes four short double-helical elements and three loops (D, anti-codon, and T loops).
Source: RNAcentral
GCGCCUGUAACUCAGUGGUUAGAGUACGACGCUUAUAACGUCGGAGUCGAUGGUUCAAUUCCAUCCAGGCGCACGA